AUAUUUAAACAUGCAAUGGAGUUUCAUGUUAUUCUUCCAACCCCUCAGGGUUGAGUAAUGAAUGAAAUGCCUAAUUAAAAAAAAAAGAAAGGUGCUGACCCAUUGACGAACCAACUCAGUAAAUCUUAGGGAAGUGUUUUUAAGCUUAUAUGCUGCAAUAACAUGGAGUUUAGGGAUGGGGAUCAUUCGAUGAGAAUAGUUUCUACAAGUGCUUCAUCAUUUUGUUUUUGAACAGCUAUUUUCGCAG
Molecule: unclassified non-coding RNA, 247 nt
Filed under: Hevea brasiliensis (rubber tree)
Lineage: Eukaryota; Viridiplantae; Streptophyta; Magnoliopsida; Malpighiales; Euphorbiaceae
Source: RNAcentral